UACGUAGGGUGCAAGCGUUAUCCGGAAUUAUUGGGCGUAAAGAGCUCGUAGGCGGUUUGUCGCGUCGUCUGUGAAAACCAGCAGCUCAACUGUUGGCUUGCAGGCGAUACGGGCAGACUUGAGUACUGCAGGGGAGACUGGAAUUCCUGGUGUAGCGGUGAAAUGCGCAGAUAUCAGGAGGAACACCGGUGGCGAAGGCGGGUCUCUGGGCAGUAACUGACGCUGAGACGCGAAAGCGUGGGGAGCAAACAGG
RNAcentral lists this ribosomal RNA (253 nucleotides) under uncultured bacterium. RNAcentral's name for it is "partial 16S ribosomal RNA". It matches the Rfam family "Bacterial small subunit ribosomal RNA", at positions 524 to 776 of the family's 1533-position model. The record is from RNAcentral.